CCUACGGGAGGCUGCAGUGAGGAAUAUUGGUCAAUGGCCGGAAGGCUGAACCAGCCAUGCCGCGUGAAGGUCAGUGCCCUAUGGGCGUUAAACUUCUUUUGUGCGGGAGCAAUAGUGGUCACGUGUGGCCAGACGAGAGUACCGUACGAAUAAGCAUCGGCUAACUCCGUGCCAGCAGCCGCGGUAAGACGGGGGAUGCAAGCGUUAUCCGGAUUUAUUGGGUGUAAAGGGUGCGUAGGCUGUGAGGUAAGUCAUCGGUGAAAUGCCCCCGCUCAACGGGGUGAAGUGCCAUUGAUACUGGCUGGCUGGAAUGCGGAUGCCGUGGGAGGAAUGUGUGGUGUAGCGGUGAAAUGCAUAGAUAUCACACAGAACACCGAUUGCGAAGGCAUCUCACGAAUCCGCGAUUGACGCUGAUGCACGAAAGCGUGGGUAUCAAACAGGAUUAGAUACCCUGGUAGUC
RNAcentral lists this ribosomal RNA (460 nucleotides) under uncultured bacterium. RNAcentral's name for it is "partial 16S ribosomal RNA". It matches the Rfam family "Bacterial small subunit ribosomal RNA", at positions 338 to 795 of the family's 1533-position model. The record is from RNAcentral.